UCUAAAUGAAAGAGCUUCUACUUCUAGAACCUUUCAUGGUUAGUGAUGGUUUUUGUAAUGAGUGACUGAAAGAAGGAAACAGUGUAAGUUUCAAAUCAUAGGUACAAAUAGAAUGUCAACUUUCUUCUGCCUGUCAUAACUUACCAAGACAGAACAAAGUAAUCUCCUGAAGACUAUUGCCUUUGUAUUUUGAGUGUUUUUGAAACUCUUGCGCUACAUGCAGGACCAGGAAAAUUUCCAUUUAUGAACCUAUAAGAAAGUCUGCAAAUGGAGCUAUAAGCAUAUCACUGCAGCCAGUUCUUCUGGAGGCGACGCCUUUGAACGCAGAGUCUGAAAGGCAAGGACAAGAGACCAGGCGUUUUCAAUGUCAGAGAUAAUCUUUUAGUGCCUCUAAAGUACCCUUCCUUCCCAAAAGCCUCACAUUAGUCUCUGUAUACAUUGCUGCAACUCGAAUGCACUCUUCCUUCUAUGGAUAAAUGGA
Long non-coding RNA from Ochotona princeps (American pika), 481 nucleotides. RefSeq lists it as uncharacterized. NCBI's taxonomy places the organism in Eukaryota, Metazoa, Chordata, Mammalia, Lagomorpha, Ochotonidae. The transcript is spliced from 3 exons. The record is from RefSeq and is a predicted model, not a curated record.